RNAcentral lists this microRNA (22 nucleotides) under Macaca mulatta (Rhesus monkey). Its description in RNAcentral is "mml-miR-642". Its record names the gene mml-miR-642. Lineage: Eukaryota; Metazoa; Chordata; Mammalia; Primates; Cercopithecidae. RNAcentral also lists the same sequence under 3 other names. The record is from miRBase by way of RNAcentral.
GUCCCUCUCCAAAUGUGUCUUG